Molecule: ribosomal RNA, 912 nt
Filed under: Penicillium purpurescens
Lineage: Eukaryota; Fungi; Ascomycota; Eurotiomycetes; Eurotiales; Aspergillaceae
Description: LSU rRNA
Rfam family: Eukaryotic large subunit ribosomal RNA
Source: RNAcentral
UGAGCAUAUCAAUAAGCGGAGGAAAAGAAACCAACAGGGAUUACCUCAGUAACGGCGAGUGAAGCGGUAAGAGCUCAAAUUUGAAAGCUGGCUCCUUCGGGGUCCGCAUUGUAAUUUGCAGAGGAUGUUUCGGGAGCAGCCCCCAUCUAAGUGUCCUGGAACGGACCGUCAUAGAGGGUGAGAAUCCCGUAUGGGAUGGGGUGUCUGCGCCCAUGUGAAACUCCUUCGACGAGUCGAGUUGUUUGGGAAUGCAGCUCUAAAUGGGUGGUAAAUUUCAUCUAAAGCUAAAUAUUGGCCGGAGACCGAUAGCGCACAAGUAGAGUGAUCGAAAGAUGAAAAGCACUUUGAAAAGAGAGUUAAAAAGCACGUGAAAUUGUUGAAAGGGAAGCGCUUGCGAUCAGACUCGCCUUGGGGGUUCAGCCGGCAUUCGUGCCGGUGUACUUCCCCCAGGGCGGGCCAGCGUCGGUUUGGGUGGCCGGUCAAAGGCCCUUGGAAUGUAACGCCUCUCGGGGCGUCUUAUAGCCAAGGGUGCCAUGCGGCCUACCUGGACCGAGGAACGCGCUUCGGCUCGGACGCUGGCAUAAUGGUCGUAAGCGACCCGUCUUGAAACACGGACCAAGGAGUCUAACAUCUACGCGAGUGUUCGGGUGUCAAACCCGUGCGCGCAGUGAAAGCGAACGGAGGUGGGAACCCUUUGGGUGCACCAUCGACCGAUCCUGAUGUCUUCGGAUGGAUUUGAGUAAGAGCGUAGCUGUUGGGACCCGAAAGAUGGUGAACUAUGCCUGAAUAGGGCGAAGCCAGAGGAAACUCUGGUGGAGGCUCGCAGCGGUUCUGACGUGCAAAUCGAUCGUCGAAUUUGGGGUAUAGGGGCGAAAGACUAAUCGAACCAUCUAGUAGCUGGUUCCUGCCGAG